CGUAGGUGGCAAGCGUUGUCCGGAUUUAUUGGGUUUAAAGGGUGCGUAGGCGGUCCCAUAAGUCAGUGCUGAAAUAUCCCGGCUUAACCGGGAGGGUGGCAUUGAUACUGUGGGACUUGAGUAAAGUUGAGGUUGGCGGAAUUGACGGUGUAGCGGUGAAAUGCUUAGAUAUCGUCAAGAACACCUAUUGCGAAGGCAGCUAACUAAGCUUUAACUGACGCUGAGGCACGAAAGUGUGGGGAUCAAACAGGAUUAGAUACCCUGGUAGUCCACACUGUAAACGUUGAUUACUCGCUGUUGGCGAUACACAGCCAGCGGCUUAGCGCAAGCGAUAAGUAAUCCACCUGGGGAGUACGCCGGCAACGGUG
Molecule: ribosomal RNA, 368 nt
Filed under: uncultured organism
Description: bacterial SSU rRNA
Rfam family: Bacterial small subunit ribosomal RNA
Source: RNAcentral